UGAAAUGUAAAUAAGAGAUACUCAAGUUA
This 29-nucleotide non-coding RNA is filed under the name Rattus norvegicus (Norway rat). The record is from RNAcentral. Lineage: Eukaryota; Metazoa; Chordata; Mammalia; Rodentia; Muridae.